GAUCAUGGCUCAGGAUGAACGCUGGCGGCGUGCCUAAUACAUGCAAGUCGAGCGGGGUAGCUUGCUACCCAGCGGCGAACGGGUGAGUAACACGUAGGUAACCUGCCUUCGAGUCCGGAAUACCCAGGCGAAAGCUUGGCUAAUGCCGGAUAACAGCGGACCCCGCCCGGGGCCCGCGUGAAAGCCGCCCCAAAGCGGCACUCCUAGAUGGACCUGCGGCGCAUUAGCUAGUUGGCGGGGCAACGGCCC
RNAcentral lists this ribosomal RNA (249 nucleotides) under uncultured bacterium. Its description in RNAcentral is "partial 16S ribosomal RNA". It matches the Rfam family "Bacterial small subunit ribosomal RNA", at positions 15 to 266 of the family's 1533-position model. The record is from RNAcentral.